CCAGUAUUAAUAUAUUUGGAUUCAUAAACAUAAAUCUUUUAUUCGAAAGCAAGAUGACUGUCCGAAAACCUCUCACAUUCGCUCGUAUAUAUGUUAUCUAGCAUUAAAAGCCCAUUCACAUACAACUGUCCACGCUUUGCGCGACAGUUCAUCCUGAAACAACGAAGCGCAGAAAACAAAGGGUAUGCCACAACGAAACGUUUUGUUUUCAGUGUUUCUCUCUAAUAAAAAUGGCGACUUUUGCUUGGCAAAGCGUAAAGAGAUGAGGGUUGCUCAACAUUUUGCUUGGCUUUUUUACCGAAAACUUUGUGUACGUACUCAUACAAAGGCCAUCGAGCUUUUCUUUCAAAACAAAUAUGUGACGCAAAGCGAAGUAAAAGUUCUAAGUGAAUUGGCCAUAAGCCCCCAUGGUGACUGCGCUGUGCUCCAAUAAAGAGAGAUCAGCUAUGUGCACAUAUACACACAAUUGCAGAUAACUGCCGGCUGUUAAGGCAGUUUGUUUCCAAACUUCGGAGGCGGCGGUCCGUCUGCAAACAGCUGGGAAAAAAAUUUUGAACGAAAUGUUUUAGUCGAAAAUCUAAAAUGAAAACGCGCAAAAUACAAAAACAAAAACACUAAAUACUAAAAAAUGUGUCUAGAAUGCAGAGUGCCAAACAGUGAAACUUGAAAGAAUUAUGCUUAAAAUGCACAUAAGCUGUAUAUGUGAAUUAUAUAGUGAACCGGUAUUAAAAGCAUUAAAAAAACGUUGGUACCGCAAUAUACUUGCAUAUACCUACAGUUCGAAAACUGCGAUAAAAGCAGCGAAUAAAUUGAAAAUAGAAAGAAAAUACAAAAAUUCAUACAAGUGACGAAUGGCAGCUAAGUGCCAAACACUUCCCUUGAGGCAUUCUUCCACAUCCCGCUUACUUUCGUGCUGUACGUUGUCACACCGCCAUAAUGUUUGAAAGGCUCAAACUGAUUGCGAGGUUACGUCCACACAAGUCCUCAUAUACCAAUAAGCAACACAAGUAUCUUUUAGUGGUUGACAGUUGCAAGCAUUUUAUACAGCAAAUUAUUUGAGUUGAGUGCACCAUUACGAUAUCGAAUAAAAAUGUGACGACAAACUUUGCGGAAAAAGUUUUAAGUAGCAGUAAGAAGCCAGACCAGCAAACUGACGCAAUUGGCAAUUGAAAACUCUACAGACUCACAGACAUGUGUGAGAUACGAACCCAUCAUCGACAGCGCAACUGAACCCCACGGAAGUGUUGACUGGUGUCACAUCUUUACAGUAACCAGAACAACAGAAUUAACGAAAGCAAAAUUAAUAAAAUAAAUAAUAUAAUAAUUUUGUAUAUAAAUACAUAACUAUAUACUCUUACAAUCAUUGAUGAAGAGCGGUGAAGGAACUUUGGCAAAAAUACGGGAUUUCCAUAAGAAGUCCACUUUAAGGGCACAUUUACUGUUAUGAAUGAAGAAUCGCCAAUGGAGUGCGAUUUGUAGGUAGAAUAAAAACUGCGGCUGUACGAACUCAACCACCUCGUUGAUACAGAAUUCCAUGAGGAUUGCUUGAUAUUGAAAAUGAAUAUAUACUUAAAUAAUAAAUGAAAUAGCAAAUCUUACAAAAACAUAAA
This is a long non-coding RNA of Bactrocera oleae (olive fruit fly), 1610 nucleotides long. RefSeq lists it as uncharacterized. The record is from RefSeq and is a predicted model, not a curated record. NCBI's taxonomy places the organism in Eukaryota, Metazoa, Arthropoda, Insecta, Diptera, Tephritidae.